GAUUGCUGUGACGACUCUAAAAUUCAAGCUCAACAGACCUGAUUGCAGGUCUCUCUUUCUCUACUAAGAAUGAGGGAUUUGCAUGUCGAAUACCCCGCUGAACUGAGCAAUC
Magnolia sinica is the source of this 112-nucleotide small nucleolar RNA. RefSeq annotates it as small nucleolar RNA Z107/R87. NCBI's taxonomy places the organism in Eukaryota, Viridiplantae, Streptophyta, Magnoliopsida, Magnoliales, Magnoliaceae. The record is from RefSeq and is a predicted model, not a curated record. The transcript has a single exon.